This 1070-nucleotide long non-coding RNA is filed under the name Ficedula albicollis (Collared flycatcher). Its description in RNAcentral is "lncRNA (ENSFALG00000028885.1)". The record is from RNAcentral. Lineage: Eukaryota; Metazoa; Chordata; Aves; Passeriformes; Muscicapidae.
ACGGGAAAUGCAGCCCUGGGAUGUUCAGGAUAUUCAAUCCAUGAAGAUCAGCCCUGGGAUGUUUGGGAUUCUGGAUUGACAGGAGAUCCGUGCUGGGAUGUUUGAGAUUCUGGAUCCACAGGAGAUCAGCCCUGGGAUGUUUGGGAUGCUGAAUCCACAGGAGAUCAGCCCUGGGAUGUUUGGGAUUCUGAAUCCACGGGAGAUCAGCCCUGGGAUUUUGGGGAUUCUGAAUCCGUGGGAGAUCAGCCCUGGGAUUUUUGGGAUUCUGAAUCCGUGGGAGAUCAGCCCUGGGAUGCUCAGGAUGUUUAACAACAUCCCAGGGGGUGUUUUCCCCCCACCGGAGGGGACCGGCGGGCAGCUGGUGCCACAUGCCAGCAGAGCCUGGAUCCAUGAGCAAUCCUGGCAGGAAUGUCACUUCACAUCCAUCUCCUGACCUCAGCACUGGAUGGACCUUUCACCAUUCUGGACAAACAUCAUUCCCCCAAGGCAGGAUGACAGGGAAGCACCUCCAGGUCACUCCUGUGUGUUGGCAUCUCCCACUCGCUCCUCGUCUUCCACAAAAAAAAAAAAAAAAAAAAUGUUCCCCCCCCCCCCCCCCCCCCCCCCCCCCCCCCCCCCCCCCUCCACAAAAAAAAAAAAAAAAAAUGUUUGAAGCCGCCGCUGAUUUUUCCCUUUGAUCCCUGUAAACACUAUACAGUAAUCAAAGUUUAAGCUGCUUUGGGUGAAAUAAUUGCUUAACAAUCAUAUAAGACAAAGUGAUUCAACAAAUGACAAUUAGGACUUGUGAUCUACAGAACAGAUGCAUUCAGUGUAGCAUAUUAUAAUGUGCUAAUAGGAGAUUGACAGCACAAUAAUAGGAGAGAACAGCCACUCAGCCUAUAAUUCCCAACCAAAUGUGAGGCUGUCCACAGAGCUCAAAUCCGAACAGGCUGUAAAAUUAGAGGUAAGAAGGCACAAGUUUCACAAAGACUCAUUAGCAGGUUGGCUGUGAAUUUCCAAGGAAGGGGGGAAAAAAAAAUUCCUGCUGGAGGCCCCCCCCCCCCCCCCCCCCCCCCCCCCCCCCCCCCCCC